CGGUGUAGCUCAGUAGGUAGAGCAGCGCAUUCGUAAUGCGAAGGUCGGGGGUUCGACUCCUCUCACCGG
Molecule: transfer RNA, 69 nt
Filed under: Stutzerimonas stutzeri
Lineage: Bacteria; Pseudomonadati; Pseudomonadota; Gammaproteobacteria; Pseudomonadales; Pseudomonadaceae
Also listed under: 2 other names
Rfam family: tRNA
About the family: Transfer RNA (tRNA) molecules are approximately 80 nucleotides in length. Their secondary structure includes four short double-helical elements and three loops (D, anti-codon, and T loops).
Source: RNAcentral